CGGCCAGUAGGUUGUCGUCAUAGAAGUCGAACUGGGUACCGUCUGCGGCCACUGCUUUGCCAUCGCCCCAAAGCUUGGGCAGGUCAAGUUGCAGAUAGAGCUCCACCAACUCGCGAUUAGCCUUGUCCAGUUUCUCCAGCGAGAGGUGGCGGCGAUUGGUAUAGGACAGCAUAUGCGGUGUGACAUUACCGGCCAGAUGCCGCGCGGCCUGGCUGGGACCGAGAUUGCAGCCCAUGGCGAAGAUCGUCAUCAGGUAGCGCUCGGCCGGCUCUUUGAGCUUUGGCUCGUUGCCGGACAUCGGUCCGAAAUGCCGCGUGAACUGAAUCCAGUGCUCAAUGUUGGCCAUAAUGUCCAGCACGUGCCUGGCUGGCAUACGCUGCAUAAGCGCCGUCUGUAGCGAGAUGGCUGAAGGCGGGAUGUCCCGUGCCAUCACCCGCCGCAGUACCGGCUCGCCUGCAUCGUUGAUCGACACAUCCCCUCGACAGGAAGGGAACUUGUCAUCUAACUGUUGCGCGGUUUCCUCCAACUGGCUCUUGAGCGAGGCGACAAACUCCUUCGCUGUGGUAGGAAGGCCCACCUUCUCGCAGUAUGCCGGUAGCCGCUGGAGACACUCUUCCCAAGGCAGCAACUGUUUACGGUAGUCGGCGAAGGAUUCCGAUCCCUGCACGCACAGAUCACCCGAGCGCAGUUCACUGGCCAGGUAGGAGAACACGCAGACCUCCAGAUAACGUCGGUUGGUAGGCGGCCCUUCACUGGUAGGGCGACGCACGAUCUUCACCCAGCGAUCUGAUGCAAACGACAAGUCGACAUGCUCAUCGAUCCAUUCACGGUGCAGAUUCUCACUGUCCUGAAUGAGCUGAAGCGCCUGGAUAAGUGAGCGAUCCUGGGUGGUGGGCUCCAACUGGAGAAGGUGGCUGAGGCGAAACAGCAGUGAACGAUGGGACUUGAAGUGCCUCCAGAUCAGCGGCAAGUAGUUAUUACCUCCUGUGGCCUGAACUUCAGCACAAACCUCUCGCAACCAGGGUUAGUCGGUUCCUAAGGCGAGGCUGAAAAGCGUAGUCGAUGGGAAACAGGUUAAUAUUCCUGUACUUCUGGUUACUGCGAUGGAGGGACGGAGAAGGCUAGGCCAGCUUGGCGUUGGUUGUCCAAGUUUAAGGUGGUAGGCUGAAAUCUUAGGUAAAUCCGGGGUUUCAAGGCCGAGAGCUGAUGACGAGUCGUCUUUUAGAUGACGAAGUGGUUGAUGCCAUGCUUCCAAGAAAAGCUUCUAAGCUUCAGGUAACCAGGAACCGUACCCCAAACCGACACAGGUGGUCGGGUAGAGAAUACCAAGGCGCUUGAGAGAACUCGGGUGAAGGAACUAGGCAAAAUGGCACCGUAACUUCGGGAGAAGGUGCGCCGGCUAGGGUGAAGGAUUUACUCCGUAAGCUCUGGCUGGUCGAAGAUACCAGGCCGCUGCGACUGUUUAUUAAAAACACAGCACUCUGCAAACACGAAAGUGGACGUAUAGGGUGUGACGCCUGCCCGGUGCCGGAAGGUUAAUUGAUGGGGUUAGCGCAAGCGAAGCUCUUGAUCGAAGCCCCGGUAAACGGCGGCCGUAACUAUAACGGUCCUAAGGUAGCGAAAUUCCUUGUCGGGUAAGUUCCGACCUGCACGAAUGGCGUAACGAUGGCGGCGCUGUCUCCACCCGAGACUCAGUGAAAUUGAAAUCGCUGUGAAGAUGCAGUGUAUCCGCGGCUAGACGGAAAGACCCCGUGAACCUUUACUGUAGCUUUGCACUGGACUUUGAGCCUGCUUGUGUAGGAUAGGUGGGAGGCUUUGAAGCGUGGACGCCAGUUCGCGUGGAGCCAUCCUUGAAAUACCACCCUGGCAUGCUUGAGGUUCUAACUCUGGUCCGUGAUCCGGAUCGAGGACAGUGUAUGGUGGGCAGUUUGACUGGGGCGGUCUCCUCCUAAAGAGUAACGGAGGAGUACGAAGGUGCGCUCAGACCGGUCGGAAAUCGGUCGCAGAGUAUAAAGGCAAAAGCGCGCUUGACUGCGAGACAGACACGUCGAGCAGGUACGAAAGUAGGUCUUAGUGAUCCGGUGGUUCUGUAUGGAAGGGCCAUCGCUCAACGGAUAAAAGGUACUCCGGGGAUAACAGGCUGAUACCGCCCAAGAGUUCAUAUCGACGGCGGUGUUUGGCACCUCGAUGUCGGCUCAUCACAUCCUGGGGCUGAAGCCGGUCCCAAGGGUAUGGCUGUUCGCCAUUUAAAGUGGUACGCGAGCUGGGUUUAGAACGUCGUGAGACAGUUCGGGAAUUUUGCUGGAGGGCGCCGAUUCA
Molecule: ribosomal RNA, 2319 nt
Filed under: Pseudomonas aeruginosa VRFPA09
Lineage: Bacteria; Pseudomonadati; Pseudomonadota; Gammaproteobacteria; Pseudomonadales; Pseudomonadaceae
Description: bacterial LSU rRNA
Rfam family: Bacterial large subunit ribosomal RNA (bases 797-2319)
Source: RNAcentral